Molecule: ribosomal RNA, 315 nt
Filed under: uncultured eukaryote
Lineage: Eukaryota
Description: partial 18S ribosomal RNA
Rfam family: Eukaryotic small subunit ribosomal RNA
Source: RNAcentral
CCCUUAGAUGUCCUGGGCCGCACGCGUGCUACACUGACACUUACACCGAGUUUUUCCAAUGCCGAAAGGCCAUUGGUAAUCAGCAAUAAGUGUCGUGAUGGGGAUAGAUCUUUGGAAUUAUUGAUCUUGAACGAGGAAUGCCUAGUAAUCGCAGGUCAUCAGCCUGCGAUGAUUACGUCCCUGCCCUUUGUACACACCGCCCGUCGCUCCUACCGAUUUCGAGUGGUUCGGUGAACCUUUCGGACCGGCAAUGCCUCGUGUUGCGCCGGAAAGUCAAGUAAACCAUAUCACUUAGAGGAAGGAGAANUCGUANCA